RNAcentral lists this ribosomal RNA (545 nucleotides) under Fusarium verticillioides. RNAcentral describes it as "eukaryotic LSU rRNA". The stretch from base 165 to 318 matches the Rfam family "5.8S ribosomal RNA". The record is from RNAcentral. Lineage: Eukaryota; Fungi; Ascomycota; Sordariomycetes; Hypocreales; Nectriaceae.
AGCGGAGGGAUCAUUACCGAGUUUACAACUCCCAAACCCCUGUGAACAUACCAAUUGUUGCCUCGGCGGAUCAGCCCGCUCCCGGUAAAACGGGACGGCCCGCCAGAGGACCCCUAAACUCUGUUUCUAUAUGUAACUUCUGAGUAAAACCAUAAAUAAAUCAAAACUUUCAACAACGGAUCUCUUGGUUCUGGCAUCGAUGAAGAACGCAGCAAAAUGCGAUAAGUAAUGUGAAUUGCAGAAUUCAGUGAAUCAUCGAAUCUUUGAACGCACAUUGCGCCCGCCAGUAUUCUGGCGGGCAUGCCUGUUCGAGCGUCAUUUCAACCCUCAAGCCCCCGGGUUUGGUGUUGGGGAUCGGCGAGCCCUUGCGGCAAGCCGGCCCCGAAAUCUAGUGGCGGUCUCGCUGCAGCUUCCAUUGCGUAGUAGUAAAACCCUCGCAACUGGUACGCGGCGCGGCCAAGCCGUUAAACCCCCAACUUCUGAAUGUUGACCUCGGAUCAGGUAGGAAUACCCGCUGAACUUAAGCAUAUCAAUAAGCGGAGGAA